This 317-nucleotide ribosomal RNA is filed under the name uncultured bacterium. Its description in RNAcentral is "bacterial SSU rRNA". It matches the Rfam family "Bacterial small subunit ribosomal RNA", at positions 28 to 334 of the family's 1533-position model. The record is from RNAcentral.
GAUGAACGCUAGCGACAGGCUUAACACAUGCAAGUCGAGGGGCAGCGGGGGAGUAGCAAUACUCCCGCCGGCGACCGGCGCACGGGUGAGUAACACGUAUGAAACCUGCCCGUAGCAGGGGGAUAAGCGGAAGAAAUUCCGUCUAAUACCGCGUAACAACCCAUGGAGGCAUCUCCGUGGGUUUAAAGGAAGCGAUUCCGGCUACGGAUGGUCAUGCGUCGCAUUAGCUUGUUGGCGGGGUAACGGCCCACCAAGGCGACGAUGCGUAGGGGUUCUGAGAGGAAGGUCCGCCACACUGGUACUGAGACACGGACCAG